RNAcentral lists this long non-coding RNA (493 nucleotides) under Lepisosteus oculatus (spotted gar). RNAcentral's name for it is "lncRNA (ENSLOCG00000022175.1)". Lineage: Eukaryota; Metazoa; Chordata; Actinopteri; Semionotiformes; Lepisosteidae. The record is from RNAcentral.
UUUCAAUCUCCAGCAACCAGUUUCAAAUGUCAGAACUCGGCACACGGAACAGAUUUGGCGGCAGUGAAGACGCCAGCUCCAGGCAAUCUGUGCCUACAAUUCUAGUGGAAGAAUCGACAAACCGUGCCGAGAAAUGUCCCACAGAUUCAGAAACACCGCAGGUUUCUGUUACGAGGACUGCGAGCAGGAGUGUGUCAGCGGUACUUGUUUUGUUCUUAACGUUCCCAAAGUGUGACAGCUGAGGAGGAAAACAGGCAUCUUUGGUUAACUUCACAGCAAACGGGAGAGCAUGCCAAUUCUUCUUGUGUGUCGGCUUUAGAGGGGAAAAGUGAAGAAAAGAAGCCAUCAUUAAAAAUGGUUUUAUGUUUGAGGUACCAGCGUUAUAUUUUAAAUAUUUGGAAAACCAGGAACACCUUCUAUGUGGUGUUUUUUAUAUUACAUGUAUUGUGAAAAUACACAUCAAUAAGAGUUUAACAGGAUUGUUCUAUUUAAG